This 73-nucleotide transfer RNA is filed under the name Anoxybacteroides rupiense. Its description in RNAcentral is "tRNA-Val". It matches the Rfam family "tRNA". From Rfam's summary of the family: Transfer RNA (tRNA) molecules are approximately 80 nucleotides in length. Their secondary structure includes four short double-helical elements and three loops (D, anti-codon, and T loops). RNAcentral also lists the same sequence under 2 other names. Lineage: Bacteria; Bacillati; Bacillota; Bacilli; Caryophanales; Anoxybacillaceae. The record is from RNAcentral.
GGAGGAUUAGCUCAGCUGGGAGAGCGCUUGCCUUACAAGCAAGGGGUCGGCGGUUCGAUCCCGUCAUCCUCCA